GGGUUGUGCAGAGCAGUCCCAGUGCCCUGAAGGAGUUUUUUGGGGUAUAUGGGAGUGGUGGCAGUAGACAGUGCCCCUACAGGAGCAGUGGUCCUUUGGGAAUACUUGGCUCUGCCGUGGUUGGGAUGGUGGUGGGGGUCUCCUCUCUACGUGUGUGUUGAGGAGUGCUUGGUUACCAAGGAGCUAGUGCAUUGAAGAGAGCUUUCAACAGUGAAUCUGGAGACUUAGGGCCUAGUACUGGCUCACCUUGCUGUGUGACCUUGGGUAAGAAUAUUGACCUCACCAAAACUCAGUUGUUCCAUUUGUAAAAAUGGAACUUGACAAUCCUGCUCUGUUCCUUUCUCAGGGCAAUGUGAGAACAAUGGGAAAUGAUUUAAGAGGACCACAGUGGUCUGGAAUAGGAUCCUUAGGAGAAGCAAUGUGGAGGAAACCAGGUGCUCAAGAUGUUUGUUGAACUCGAGUGUUGCUCAGUCUUGGGCCAGGCUUUGCUGUGGGGACACUGAGAGGAAUCAAGCUGAGACCUGGCUCUGGGAACCCACUGGUUCAGUGAUUUGCACACCUUUUAAACACAUGCCUCAUUUUGAUAAACAAAGAGCUUCUCCCUUUAAUGUUUAAUCCAGUGAGGUUACUUUCAAGUCCAGAAUUUUAUUUUUGUUUCCUGCUUUGUUUUGCAAAAAAUAUCUUUAAACCAUGAGUGAUCACAUCCUUCCCUCCAAGUUUGGGGUGCACCUCCCACCCCCUCUCCUGCUUAGAGAGGUAAGGUGUAUCCAGGUGAAGACUAAAACUUCUAGGAGCUCAUGGAUGUUCCCCAUAGGCAUUUAUUGCAGGUCUUAUGGGUAGCAGGCAAAGUGCUUGGAUAAAAGAAGGCAGCUCUGUUGGUAAGGUCCUGGGGUAGGGGCAGUCUGGUGAAUGAGGGUCACCAGGUUGGGCAACAUAGCUCAAGGAGAGGCUAUAGGGGUCUGGAAGUCUUCUGGGAGGAGGUGGCAUUUGAGAUGAGCCCAGGAGGGCAGGUAGAGGGGGUUAUUUUGGCUUGAACAAAGACGUCGAAGGGCGAGUGCUGGAGGUUUUGGGAGGUGAGAGGCUCCUCCGGCUGGGGGUUGCCUGACCCCUUCUUUCCCUUCUGCCUUUCCAGGGGCUGGUGAUUGCAGCUGGAAGUGUCCAUGACCGAGCUGGAGUCCUCCGGGGGCGGGUCCCCUGUGGGGGACGGGGAGGAGGGUCUGGGGGACGAGCGAGGCCUGGUCAUCCACCACCCUGCCGAGGAGCAGCCCCACCGCUGCCUGCUGUGCGGCCAGACCUUCUCGCAGCAACCCAGCCUCGUGAGGCACCAGAAGGCACACGCCGGGGCGGGCCGCGCGGCCUCCUUCGUGUGCCCGGAGUGCGGCAAGGCUUUCAGCGUGAAGCACAACCUCGAGGUGCACCAGCGCACGCACACGGGGGAGCGACCCUUCCCCUGCCCCGAGUGUGGCCGCUGCUUCAGUCUCAAGCAGAACCUGCUCACGCACCAGCGCAUCCACAGCGGGGAGAAGCCGCACCAGUGCGCGCAGUGCGGCCGUUGCUUCCGGGAGCCGCGCUUCCUGCUCAACCACCAGCGCACCCACGCGCGCAUGCCCGCGCCGCACCCGCGCCGCCCCGGCGUCUUCGGGGAGCGGCGGCCCUACUUCUGCCCGCGCUGCGGCAAGAGCUUCGCGCGGGAGGGCUCGCUCAAGUCCCACCAGCGCAGCCACGGCCACGGGCCCGAGGGCCAGGCGGCCCACCUAGGCCGCGUGCUAUGACAAGCACGUGGCCUGCCACCCUCAGCUGCCUCCAGGCCCAGAGCGGCGUCUCGGGGCCCUGGAGAUGGAGCUGGGCUGAGGCCCUCUCUCUGGACAGGAUCCCGGGAGAGGGACAACACUGGCUUGGGGUGUCAAGCUCAAGACCCGAUGCAGCUGCUUUGGGCUCCUGCGUUGGUUUUCCUCGGGCUCUUGCAGCCUUAAGCAGGUGAGGCCUGCAGGGCGGCCUGAAGCCCCAGAGGUCCAGAGGUGUCAGGGGCGGGCGGGUGAGUGCGUGGGGAGCAAGCUGGGUUUGUAGGUCUGGUUAUGACGAGCUGUUUACCAAAUCGUCAUCUCCAGAAUGUCAGAGUUGACAGCGACUUGGAGAGGACCACUUUCCACAAUCCCCAGGUCCAGUCUCAGUCCCAAGGCCUCCUUCACCCACUCUGUGGUGUCCUUGAGAAGUCAUUGCACUUCGUGUCUCAGUUUGUUCAUCUGUAAGUGGAGGAUCAAGUUGAGAGUCUCCUCCUCCCUGGGGCAUUGUGAGGAUUUGCUGUUAGGAGAGGGUAGCAUCAUGUGUGUGCGCUGUGCUGUGCUGUGCUAUGCUGCACUCUCAGAAGGAGGCAUAGGUGAGGACCACAGCACAGUCACUCGUGUGUGACUGAUGCCUACACAGGAUAUGGGCUGUAGUGGGAACAAUCUGUGAAGUUUCUGGGAGAGAGGUGACUGGAGUCACUUGGGGGAAUGCCAUGGCUUUGAACUGGCCCUGGGGAUGAAUAGACUUGCUCCAGAAGGGCAGGUAUGUGGAAGGAUUUGGGAAGUGAGGUUUUCUUAGUGGAGGUUCUAAUUUGCCCUAGGAAGGACUUUGUGGUAAGGGAGGAGGGACCUCGGAGACUUUUAAUGAGAACCUAGUGGGCUCAGACCUGUGCUUUAAAGGCACUGUGAGGACAGAUGGAAGACCCAGAGCCUGGGGCCAACCAGGCAGAAGAUGAAGCUCCAGCUAAGAUGCUUGGCUGAGGUCACACAGUGAGAAUGGGGUGAGCCGGAACUUGCCUCCAGGACCUCUGAUUGCAAGUUCACGCUCUGAGGCACAGACCUCUUUAGCUGGUUGGCAGAUGUAGAAAUGGCCUUCUCCAAGCUUGUCCCAAGUCCCAGUACUCAGCACAGUGGGUAAGGUCAGGCUUUGUUUUGGAUUCUGGACCCCAAGACCCUUCAGCUGUACUGCUGAAAAAUACAAAAUGGAGCUGAGAGGAUUCCAGCAUGUGGCUGGGGGUCAUGUGAAGGAUCCCAGGCAGGGCCAUCACUGGGUGGUGCAGAUGCCUGAGGGCAUACGGAUGAUGGACACUGCUGCUCCCAGAGUCCUUGCUUCCCAUUCAAGUCUGUGCUGAGUGCUGGAGACCUAUUCCUUCUUCCCUAUGCCCUCUCUGUCCUUCCUCAGUGCAGUGUGGCUCCCCAGAGAUCGAUUUCCCUCUGCCUGCUACCUUUGGUAGUUGUUGCAAUGUGGACUAGCACUUGGUGGCAGAGAAUAAGAUUAAGCAGGGUCCUGGGACAAUUGGAGCCAAUCACCCAAAUGUCCUGGCCCCAAGAUGUUCCAUCUGUAAAUGGGAUUAAUAAUUCUCGUCUUGCAUUGUAGAAGGUUAAGGGACUUACUCAAAGCCCCAGGCAGAUGCAGCCGGGGCAGCUGAUGUCCCUUCUAGCUUUGGGGGUGGAUGGGCAGGGCCAUGUUGUAGCACCAGACCUGACCCUGAUCUCUUUGUUUCUGUGAACAGAUGUGAAGUGAGCAGGACCUCAUGGCCCAGAAGGUGCCGGGUACAUCUGGGCACAGAGACUAGGAAUGGAGUCCCAUGGGAGCCUGCAUGGCACUGCACCCUGGCAUGAGGACAUGUCCUCUAAGAAGAUCUACCUUGGGAGGUGCCCUGCAGUGACCUGUAGAGGUGACCUGAUGGAACCUGGAAUUAGAGGCCAAUUCCAAAACCUGGUGGGAAAACCCCCCAGGCCUUGAGGGAGUCACAGCAGGGGCAGGCCUCCUGCUGGCUUCCUGGCCACGUAUCUCUACUCUCAUGUGGCUGCAGGGAUGGCAUCUGUGGCCUUUCUGCUCCUGCCUGGUCCGCCAGUCAGCUAAAAUUCAGAGACAGGAAGUGACUAGUCUAAGUUAACACAGCAAGUCAGCGGCAGGUCAGGCUUGAGGGCAGAACCUUGCCCCUGGGUGAACCAUUCCUGCAGGCUUCAUUUCCUUUCUGAGUCAGGAAGGUUGUUAACACUUUGGGGUCACGUGGCCCUUUGAAAAUUUGUGAAAAUUGUGGACCUUCUCUCCAGGAAAACAUGCAUACUCACUUAGACUCAAAAAUUCCAAGCAAUUUCAGGAGCUGCUGGACUCCAGACAAAGAACCUCAGCCCUGGAGGCUUCAUCUGCCACCCUUCCCUUACCUGACACAGAGCCCCGAGCUAAGGCUGCCAUGCAAGUAGUGUUUCUCUCUCCCCUGACCUCGUUCCCGUUCCCUUGUUUGGGAAUAAAGAAUUCUGAGGUGGAGAUUCAUAUAGUCAAUCCCUUCUCUCAGACACCAGUGCACCAGAUUUCUGGAACCUAAUUUCCCUUCCCCUGACGUCACUGAAGAUUCCCUGGACUGGUUUGCUCCUCUGCAUUGUUUCGUGUUCUGCCAACAGGAUGCUGGCUUGUGAAAUGGAGCCUCUGCUCGGCCUGGGCUCUGAUUUCACUGGGAGGUGUCAGGGAAGCUGGACUCUGAGGAGGUGGAAGAAGCACCAGUAAGCCCACCCAGGGAAAAGGAAACCAGUCACCCUCAGACAAGGCUCCUGCCCCACCAGGGCAGCCCUAGGCAGUGUCAUGUGGGAGAGCUGGGGAGGAAGACGCUAGAGCCCUGCUGCUGGUGCCUGUGGCUGGUGGGAGAGGCAGGUGCAGAAGCUGGGGUGCCCCAAGCAGAUGGGUACAAGUGGAGGGACCAGGCUCCAGGCCGGCUGCAGAGCUUAGUCGUCACACCUGAGCAGGUCAUCCUGGAGCCCACAAGGCUCACCUGCCUCCCCAGAAUGAACUGCCCAUCAGAAAAGGUGGGACCCAUUGGGUUGGGAUGGAAGCCAAUGGAUUCCUGUCCUGGGUUCUUGCUGCUCCUAUCCCUCAGACAGUUUGGCACAUAGGUUCUUCCUGGACACCUACUGUAUAGGAUUGCAGAAUGCUUGGGGAAAUAGAGAAAGGAGAGCCACUCCCUGCCCUGGAGGCUUCCAUGUGGCUCUGGUCCUUGGCCAAUCUAGGGAGAACCACAACAGCACACCCUCUCUCUGCUAAUUGUUCAGCUUGUCUCCUUGCCGUACCUGUGCUGUGCCUUCCCUGGUAUUGCUCGGAAACGUCCCCCUUCUAUCCUCCUCUCUACUGAGCCCUCCUUAUCCACAGGGUUGGGCUUCCUUCUGUGUAUAGGACCUGUGUGAACAUACUGUCACCCCUGAGUACACUGUGCUGUCUAGUCUUGUGCUGCAGUUUCCUCUGUGUGUAUGUGCGUGCGCACAUGUGUGUCUUGAGUCUCCAACUAGACUAAGCUCCCUGAGGGCAAGGACUGUGUCAUUUCUUUUUGAACCCCAGCUGGUCUAGCACAGGGCUGGACUCAUAACUCUCAGGAAACACUUGUCAACUGGCUGAUGAAGCAAGUGCUGGAGCGUGGGGGUGGGUAUGGGGGGAUCGUGAGGGGAGAGGGCAUAUGAGUUAACUAGUGGGUGCGUUUUAUUGGGCUGUGGACUGGCUCCCCUGGGUCAGUAGUGGACUCUGGAGGCCUCAGGUCUUCCACUACUUGGAGGCAGUGGAUGCAGGAGGAACCCCCACCCCCACCCCUGCCCAUGACUAUGCAGGACUAAACAGAAAGGGUCGUCCAGGCUGGCUAUUUUUGGAGGUCACUGACACUUACUGGAGCUGACCAAGUGGAAUAAAUGUUCUCUUGACAUCAGCUGGUGUGAAGAGUAGUC
This 5714-nucleotide long non-coding RNA is filed under the name Marmota monax (woodchuck). Lineage: Eukaryota; Metazoa; Chordata; Mammalia; Rodentia; Sciuridae. The record is from RNAcentral.